GGUCAGUAGGUUGGUCGUGCCACCGGUACGUACUGGUCUCACUGAUUCCUCCUUCCUGAAGAACCGUAAUGCCAUUAAUUUGGUGUUGCGGGGAAACAGGACUGUUACUUUGAAAAAAUUAGAGUGUUUAAAGCACGCUAACGCUUGAAUACAUUAGCAUGGAAUAAUGAAAUAGGACGAUCGAUCCUAUUUUGUUGGUUUCUAGGAUUGACGUA
Molecule: ribosomal RNA, 215 nt
Filed under: Glomeromycotina sp.
Lineage: Eukaryota; Fungi; Glomeromycota
Description: partial small subunit ribosomal RNA
Rfam family: Eukaryotic small subunit ribosomal RNA (bases 39-215)
Source: RNAcentral